GGAGUUAUGAAAUGUAAGUGCGCUAAUAUCGCAUUUAUUUGACGAAGGCUCCAAAGGAAGCCACGGCUAACUCUGUGCCAGCAGCCGCGGUAAUACAGAGGUGGCAAGCGUUGUUCGGAAUUAUUGGGCGUAAAGAGCACGUAGGUGGGUUUGUAAGUCAGAUGUGAAAGCCUUCUGUUCAACGGAAGAAUUGCAUCUGAAACUACAAGUCUUGAGUGUAGGAGGGGAGAGUGGAACUUCUG
This 242-nucleotide ribosomal RNA is filed under the name uncultured Planctomycetales bacterium. Its description in RNAcentral is "partial 16S ribosomal RNA". It matches the Rfam family "Bacterial small subunit ribosomal RNA", at positions 439 to 672 of the family's 1533-position model. The record is from RNAcentral. Lineage: Bacteria; Pseudomonadati; Planctomycetota; Planctomycetia; Planctomycetales.